RNAcentral lists this ribosomal RNA (465 nucleotides) under uncultured Klebsiella sp. Its description in RNAcentral is "bacterial SSU rRNA". It matches the Rfam family "Bacterial small subunit ribosomal RNA", at positions 338 to 795 of the family's 1533-position model. Lineage: Bacteria; Pseudomonadati; Pseudomonadota; Gammaproteobacteria; Enterobacterales; Enterobacteriaceae. The record is from RNAcentral.
CCUACGGGUGGCUGCAGUGGGGAAUAUUGCACAAUGGGCGCAAGCCUGAUGCAGCCAUGUCGCGUGUGUGAAGAAGGCCCUCGGGUUGUAAAGCACUUUCAGCGGGGAGGAAGGCGGUGAGGUUAAUAACCUCAUCGAUUGACGUUACCCGCAGAAGAAGCACCGGCUAACUCCGUGCCAGCAGCCGCGGUAAUACGGAGGGUGCGAGCGUUAAUCGGAAUUACUGGGCGUAAAGCGCACGCAGGCGGUCUGUCAAGUCGGAUGUGAAAUCCCCGGGCUCAACCUGGGAACUGCAUUCGAAACUGGCAGGCUAGAGUCUUGUAGAGGGGGGUAGAAUUCCAGGUGUAGCGGUGAAAUGCGUAGAGAUCUGGAGGAAUACCGGUGGCGAAGGCGGCCCCCUGGACAAAGACUGACGCUCAGGUGCGAAAGCGUGGGGAGCAAACAGGAUUAGAUACCCGGGUAGUC